GUUUGGAAAACUCUGCCCCUACCGCAAAAUCUCUCUCUUUCCCUCCCCCCACAAAGAGGCUCCCUUAUCUCUCACUUUACAUACCGGCCCUAGCCCUCCCGCCGCCCAGCUUCCCGCCCAGCAGUUCAAACUGACCAACAGUUGCCCACCACCUCGGCUUUUGGCUUCCCCACCCCCCAGCCCUUCAGCCCCCUAUAAAACAACCCUGCCCCUCUGAGCGGCGCGGCCAUUCUCCUCUUCCUCCCGGCUGGUCCGCCCGGAGGCUCUUUCCUCUCAAUAAAGCCUGAACUUAAGGAAUUUCCUCUAGCCUGCGGUCCGGUUUCUUUCCCAAUGAGCCCAGUCUUCCCGCAGAGGGUAGGUCGGACAAAUGGUGCCGGAAACCCGGGACGGGAGCUGAGGCCGUUGGCCCGGCCACGGCCCCCCUCCCCGACCUACCCAACACUGGCCCUGCCACCUCCACGUUCCGAUUAAGCCGAAUUCCAGAUGCUGCAAACUCCCCAUCGCCGCACCUGAUGAGCUGCCUUCCUACCCAUUGCCGUUGGAGUCUCCCUUGCUGGUUCAGCACUUGCAGCAGGAUUAGGAGGAGGGGCACUAGUCCACUCUCACCUGGCUAUGGCCCGACUGACCUCGCAAUUCCAAGCAGCUAUUGAUGACUCUACUGAGUCUUUAGCAUCACUCCAACGACAGAUCACCUCAGUUGCCCAAGUUGCCUUGCAGAACCGAAGAGCCCUAGACCUGCUCACUGCUGAACGAGGAGGGACCUGUAUCUUCCUACAAGAAGAGUGCUGUUACUACAUCAAUGAAUCCGGCCUAGUAGAAACCCGAAUCGAGAGCCUCCAGAAACUCAAAACUAACCUGCAGAGUCAGAAGUUCUCGGCUGAAGCCACAGCGUGGUGGUCUUCCUCUAUGUAUACCCUCUUGUCCCCAUUGCUUGGGCCCCUAGUAGCUGUUUGCCUAAUCUUACUUAUUGCUCCUUGCUUUCUACAGUUCCUAUAGCGGCGCUUUCAAGAACUGACUCGAGUCACCAUCCACCAGAUGCUGCUCCAACCCUACCCUGAACGAGUGCAAGAAACAGACCUCUCCCCGAACAUCCAGGCUCGUUAAGAAAAGAGACCUCUUCAGAACCCCCAUCGACCCUUGUCAGCAGGAAGUAGCUAGAGAGACAACCGACGCCCCUGACCCCCUCUUUUUCUUUUCUUUAAGGAGUCGGGAAUGUUUGGAAAACUCUGCCCCUACCGCAAAAUCUCUCUCUUUCCCUCCCCCCACAAAGAGGCUCCCUUAUCUCUCACUUUACAUACCGGCCCUAGCCCUCCCGCCGCCCAGCUUCCCGCCCAGCAGUUCAAACUGACCAACAGUUGCCCACCACCUCGGCUUUUGGCUUCCCCACCCCCCAGCCCUUCAGCCCCCUAUAAAACAACCCUGCCCCUCUGAGCAGCGCGGCCAUUUUCCUUUUCGUCCCGGCUGGCCUGCCCGGAGGCUCUUUCCUCUCAAUAAAGCCUGAACUUAAGGAAUUUCCUCUAGCCUGCGGUCCGGUUUUUCCCGAACGAGCUCAGUCUUCCCGCAGAGGGUAGGUCGGACACUAAAUGCUCUGACAAAUUUGAACAGAUGGAAGUGUGAGAUGAAAACUACCCUAUCUGUCCCUUCUCUUAGUAACCAGAGGUAAUAACUCUCUUGUAAUUCCUUCUAGGUAAUUUCUUAGCAAAUGUAAACAUAAGCAUAUAUAUACAGCUAUAGAUAGAUAUAGCUAUGUAGAUGUACAGACAUACAGUUGGUUGUAGUUUGCAUCAGAUCCUCGAUUAGCUUUUCUCACUUAAUGGUGUAUAUUAAAGAUCUUUCACACAGGCCUGUCACUCCUGGACUCAAGAGACCCUCCCACCUCAGCCUCUUGAGUAGCUAGAACUACCAUGCCCAGCUAUUUUAUUUUUUGUAGAGGCUAGCUCUCUCUAUCUUACCCAUGGUCCCAAACUCCUAGGCUCAAGCAAUCCUCCUACCUCCGCCUCUUGAAGUGCUGGAAUUACAGGUGUGCACUGCACCUGGUCUGUUUGCUUGAUUUAUAGCAUUUUCAUAUGUAAUCGUGUGAUACAUGGGUAUGCAUUUGUGUACUGUUACUUUAACCCUGCAAAUGUUAGGGGUGGGUCAUAUCUAAGUUUCAGAUCUCUUGUCAACCUGCUGGUGAAAAAUGGUGUAUGUAACUUUGUGUAUUUUAAAAAAUUAAUAAAGUUGCUGGGCACGGUG
Molecule: long non-coding RNA, 2235 nt
Organism: Callithrix jacchus (white-tufted-ear marmoset)
Lineage: Eukaryota; Metazoa; Chordata; Mammalia; Primates; Cebidae
Source: RefSeq, a predicted model, not a curated record